RNAcentral lists this ribosomal RNA (1398 nucleotides) under uncultured bacterium. Its description in RNAcentral is "partial 16S ribosomal RNA". It matches the Rfam family "Bacterial small subunit ribosomal RNA". The record is from RNAcentral.
AGAGUUUGAUCCUGGCUCAGAUUGAACGCUGGCGGCAGGCCUAACACAUGCAAGUCGAGCGGUAGCACAGAGAGCUUGCUCUCGGGUGACGAGCGGCGGACGGGUGAGUAAUGUCUGGGAAACUGCCUGAUGGAGGGGGAUAACUACUGGAAACGGUAGCUAAUACCGCAUAAUGUCGCAAGACCAAAGUGGGGGACCUUCGGGCCUCAUGCCAUCAGAUGUGCCCAGAUGGGAUUAGCUAGUAGGUGGGGUAACGGCUCACCUAGGCGACGAUCCCUAGCUGGUCUGAGAGGAUGACCAGCCACACUGGAACUGAGACACGGUCCAGACUCCUACGGGAGGCAGCAGUGGGGAAUAUUGCACAAUGGGCGCAAGCCUGAUGCAGCCAUGCCGCGUGUGUGAAGAAGGCCUUCGGGUUGUAAAGCACUUUCAGCGGGGAGGAAGGCGAUAAGGUUAAUAACCUUGUCGAUUGACGUUACCCGCAGAAGAAGCACCGGCUAACUCCGUGCCAGCAGCCGCGGUAAUACGGAGGGUGCAAGCGUUAAUCGGAAUUACUGGGCGUAAAGCGCACGCAGGCGGUUUGUUAAGUCAGAUGUGAAAUCCCCGGGCUCAACCUGGGAACUGCAUCUGAUACUGGCAAGCUUGAGUCUCGUAGAGGGGGGUAGAAUUCCAGGUGUAGCGGUGAAAUGCGUAGAGAUCUGGAGGAAUACCGGUGGCGAAGGCGGCCCCCUGGACGAAGACUGACGCUCAGGUGCGAAAGCGUGGGGAGCAAACAGGAUUAGAUACCCUGGUAGUCCACGCCGUAAACGAUGUCGACUUGGAGGUUGUGCCCUUGAGGCGUGGCUUCCGGAGCUAACGCGUUAAGUCGACCGCCUGGGGAGUACGGCCGCAAGGUUAAAACUCAAAUGAAUUGACGGGGGCCCGCACAAGCGGUGGAGCAUGUGGUUUAAUUCGAUGCAACGCGAAGAACCUUACCUGGUCUUGACAUCCACGGAAGUUUUCAGAGAUGAGAAUGUGCCUUCGGGAACCGUGAGACAGGUGCUGCAUGGCUGUCGUCAGCUCGUGUUGUGAAAUGUUGGGUUAAGUCCCGCAACGAGCGCAACCCUCGCCUUUAGUUGCCAGCAUUAAGUUGGGCACUCUAGAGGGACUGCCAGGGAUAACCUGGAGGAAGGUGGGGAUGACGUCAAAUCAUCAUGCCCCUUAUGCUUAGGGCUACACACGUGCUACAAUGGGUGGUACAGAGGGCAGCCAAGUCGUGAGGCCGAGCUAAUCCCUUAAAGCCAUUCUCAGUUCGGAUUGUAGGCUGAAACUCGCCUACAUGAAGCUGGAGUUACUAGUAAUCGCAGAUCAGAAUGCUGUGGUGAAUGCGUUCCCGGGUCUUGCACACACCGCCCGUCA